RNAcentral lists this ribosomal RNA (2222 nucleotides) under Anaerostipes hadrus. Its description in RNAcentral is "partial 23S ribosomal RNA". It matches the Rfam family "Bacterial large subunit ribosomal RNA", at positions 400 to 2653 of the family's 2925-position model. Lineage: Bacteria; Bacillati; Bacillota; Clostridia; Lachnospirales; Lachnospiraceae. The record is from RNAcentral.
GCAGGAUCCAGAGUAGGACGAGACACGAGAAACCUUGUCUGAACGAGCGGGGACCACCCCGUAAGGCUAAAUACUUCUUAGUGACCGAUAGCGCAUAGUACUGUGAAGGAAAGGUGAAAAGUACCCCGGGAGGGGAGUGAAAGAGAACCUGAAACCCUGUGUCUACAAGCUGUGGGACCUCUUUAUAUGAGGGACUGCGUACUUUUUGUAGAACGGUCCGGCGAGUUGUGCGUACUGGCGAGGUUAAGGACUUAAGGUCUGGAGCCGAAGUGAAAGCAAGCGUUAAUAGCGCGUCAAGUCAGUGAGUGCAGACCCGAAACCGGGUGACCUAUCCAUGUCCAGGUUGAAGCUUCCGUAAGAGGAAGUGGAGGACCGAACCCACAUCCGUUGAAAAGGGUGGGGAUGAGGUGUGGAUAGCGGAGAAAUUCCAAUCGAACCCGGAGAUAGCUGGUUCUCCUCGAAAUAGCUUUAGGGCUAGCCUCAUGAGAGUCUUAUGGAGGUAGAGCACUGAAUUGCCUAGGGGGCGUCAAAGCUUACCAAAGCAUAUCAAACUCCGAAUGCCAUCAAGAUGAUUCAUGGGAGUCAGACCAUACGAGAUAAGUUGGAUGGUCAAAAGGGAAAGAGCCCAGACCUACAGCUAAGGUCCCAAAGUACGUGUUAAGUGGAAAAGGAUGUGGGGAUUCUAAGACAACUAGGACGUUGGCUUAGAAGCAGCCAUUCAUUGAAAGAGUGCGUAAUAGCUCACUAGUCGAGAGUCCCUGCGCCGAAAAUGUCCGGGGCUGAAACACGACACCGAAGCUUAGGAAUGUGUAAACAUUGGUAGAGGAGCAUUGCUGGCGGGAUGAAGCCAUACCGUAAGGAGUGGUGGACUGCCAGGAAGAGAGAAUGCCGGAAUGAGUAGCGAGAUGAAGGUGAGAAUCCUUCAGGCCGAAUAUCUAAGGUUUCCAGAGUAAAGCUGAUCUGCUCUGGGUAAGUCGGGACCUAAGGCGAGGUCGAAAGACGUAGUCGAUGGAUAACAGGUUGAAAUUCCUGUACCGCAUAUAAACAGAACUGUGGGGACACAGACAGGGAAUGGAAUCCGGGAAUGGAGAUCCCGGUGCAAGCGAGGUAGGAGUGCUGUUGGCAAAUCCGCAGCACGAUCUGAAGACGUGACGCGUACCGAACAUAAGUAGGGAAGUCCAGGCCCCUGGCUGUCAAGAAAAGCCGCUAUUGUUUUAUAUGUGCCCGUACCGCAAACCGACACAGGUGGAUGAGGAGAGAAUCCUAAGGCCGACGGGAGAAGUAUUGUUAAGGAACUCGGCAAAAUGACUCCGUAACUUCGGGAGAAGGAGUGCCAUGAGAGUGGCCGCAGAGAAAUGGCCCAAGCAACUGUUUAGCAAAAACACAGGUCUAUGCAAAACCGCAAGGUGAAGUAUAUGGGCUGACGCCUGCCCGGUGCUGGAAGGUUAAGGGGAGAGGUUAGCGCAAGCGAAGCUUUGAACUUAAGCCCCAGUAAACGGCGGCCGUAACUAUAACGGUCCUAAGGUAGCGAAAUUCCUUGUCGGGUAAGUUCCGACCCGCACGAAAGGCGUAAUGAUUUGGGCACUGUCUCAACGAUACACCCGGUGAAAUUGAAAUACCAGUGAAGAUGCUGGUUACCUGCGCCAGGACGGAAAGACCCCAUGGAGCUUUACUCCAGUUUGAUACUGGGAUUCGGCAUGGUAUGUACAGGAUAGGUGGGAGACUGAGAAGGUAUGACGUCAGUUGUACCGGAGUCGCUGUUGGGAUACCACCCUUACCAUGUUGGAUUUCUAACCUGUGGCCGUAAGCCGGUCAGGGGACAAUGUCAGGCGGGGAGUUUGACUGGGGCGGUCGCCUCCGAAAGGGUAUCGGAGGCGCUCAAAGGUUCCCUCAGAAUGGUUGGAAACCAUUCGAAGAGUGCAAAGGCAGAAGGGAGCUUGACUGUGACACCGACGGGUGGAGCAGGUACGAAAGUAGGACUUAGUGAUCCGGUGGUAUAAAGUGGGAUUGCCAUCGCUCAACGGAUAAAAGCUACCCUGGGGAUAACAGGCUUAUCACUCCCAAGAGUUCACAUCGACGGAGUGGUUUGGCACCUCGAUGUCGGCUCAUCGCAUCCUGGAGCUGUAGCAGGUUCCAAGGGUUGGGCUGUUCGCCCAUUAAAGCGGUACGCGAGCUGGGUUCAGAACGUCGUGAGACAGUUCGGUCCCUAUCCGGCGCAGGCG